Molecule: non-coding RNA, 6350 nt
Organism: Tetranychus urticae (two-spotted spider mite)
Lineage: Eukaryota; Metazoa; Arthropoda; Arachnida; Trombidiformes; Tetranychidae
Source: RefSeq, a predicted model, not a curated record
UAAAUGUGCAUCUACAGCUUUUCUGCAUAACCUCGGCCCUGUUGUAGCCCGAAAUUUUGCAGAAAGUCUCUGAACAGUAAACAAUCGGAUAAUCAACGAUCUGAGCAUUUGCCAGUAGGAAACUGCAGUCAGCUAAACAAUCUACAAUAUUAAGUAAUGGAGCAAGAUGAAUGAAUGAAGUGUAAGUAGCAGGAGAAAUAAGAAAAGAAAGAAGACAACAGCUAAAGAAGAGCUUGGAUAAUCAAUUCUACCAAAAGUGGAUAUUAUCAACCAGUCUAGUGACUCUUUUGGGUUACCAUUUUCAUCUCACUUUACCCUUUCAUCAUGAUCAUCAUCACCAUGAGUUUGCCAUUACAAUGAAGGCAGGAGAAGAUAUAAAGAAGAAAAAGAAUUAAGGAGAAAACAAAGAAAAAGUAGGAAUAUCAGUUACCAAUUUGAUGAACAAAAGUUAAGCCAAAAGUAAAAGUGACCAACUAAAGGAAUGACGAAUUAUUGUAUAAAAAUCUAAACUGGGAAUUGAAGAGAAAUAUAAAUCGGCUGAUGAGAAAGAAGAGAAAUGAUUCCAAGAAGACAUUUAAAGAAUGAUAAAGACUGAUAAAACAAGAAGUUAAAGAUGGACAAAUUUUGAUGACAAAGAAUAUGCUUUUACAUUGUCUCAUCACCAUCAACCAUCAAUGAAAAGUAACAUUGAUUGGAUUGAGCAUCCCUUAAUCUUGCUGAUGAAUUCUGCUAAUAUUAUUGCAGCCUUCUUUCCAUCAACAUUUUAACCCAACUUGAAACAAUGAUUAAGCUUCUGAAGACAAUAGCUAUCGAAGAAGAGGAAAAAGGAGACAAAAAAAAUCAAGCAAAAAUCAGCAAUAUUAUAAACAGUAUCUUCAAGGAAUACCAAGACAAUGGAAAGAAAAGGAAGAAAAGAUUCUUAUAAGCACUAGGAAGCUAAUCCUUUUGAUGAUUUCCUUAUUUGAUCUUAAAAACUGGCGAAAAGAAGAGCUUGAAUAUAUGAAUAUUUGACAAAAAAUAUGGUUAAGGACGAGGUUAAAGCUCUCUUGUUUUGAGACUAGGAACCCUGAAAUACAAGAAGAGUUGACAAAACAAUAACAGAAUAGCAAGAUUCCUCUUGUUUCAAGACAAUCCUCCAGCUUUGGUACACAGUAAUAUACAUAACGAAAGCAGAAAAGUCUGAAAAAAUGGCUCUAUUGUUUCUUAGUUUUUUCAAAAUCUUUUUCUGCCCUUUUCUGUCAACUUUUCAACGUUACAUGAUUGAGAAGUCAAUAAAUGGAGGUUCAAUGAAACGUAUCAAGCAACCUUUGGAAGCUUGGCAAGGAAAACAAUAUCUCAAACUUGAUCCAGUUUAACAGGGAAAGAUGGAUGAAACCACUGACUAACAUGGUGAUGGGCUCAUUUUAAUUGACAAUCUAACAAGGAAUACUAAAAUGGAAUCAAAAUGCAUGUACAAUGAAGAUCGUUUUUUCACUUUUCUGUUUGCUGUUAUCCGAUUUCAGAGGUUGACAAGAAACAAAUCUUAAGUGAAUUAAUCUUUAAUGUUAUAUAAUUUGAUCUUGGAAUAAUGUUUUAUGGAAAGUUUGUGAAUUCACAACAAGACAUGAGUUACUCUACCUUUCAUGGACAACUCUUUACUGGUCAACUGGAUAUUGCUGUUAUUUUGGAUGCAACUUGAAGUGAAACUCUAUCGCAAUCAAUUGAAAGAAAUGAAAGAUUGAAAGAUAAACUGUUCCAAUGGUGAAAAGAUAAAGAUUCAAGUUAGGUGAUGAAAGUGAAAAAGAGAUUGGAUUGACAAUCUAAAAGGAUAAUUGAAAGAAAAGAAAAUCUGACUGAAAUCUCAAUGGAAAAUCUGAAAGAAUGUAGUGGUUUUUCGUUGUGCAGGGAAAAAGCAGGCAAAGUGAUGAGACUAUCAUGGAAGAGUUAAAAGUCAUCUUUACAUGUUAAAGUAUUAUAAUGUAAUAUGAAAACAAGAGAAUGAUAUAUUGACAGAAAUGGAUUCAAAUUUUAGACGACAAGUUAGAUAAGUAAGAAAGACAAGAAGACGAUGAAUAAAAUAUAAAUGAUGGAAUUGGAUAAAGCCCGGGAAAAGUGUAGUUUGCAUGAGAAAUUGUAGAUAUUUUUGAUGCAAAUUUUUCUUUGUCCUUUUCAUUUUGUUAACAGUCAAUCAUUCUCUUCCUUUUUUCUUCUUCUUCUUUCAUCCCUUUCUUCAAGAGUUAUCUUCUCUCUACAUGAUAGACGAUGGCAGACAUUGGCUUGGAACAUCAACUGAAUUCAAGAUUAAAGGAGACUUUUUGGUGAAAGAGUUUAUCAAUACUAACAUGAUGAAGAUGAUAAUGAUGAUGAUCCAGGAGGAAUGUGUUGAAAGGAGAAGCAAUGUUGAUGAUCGUGGUGAAGAUUGAAUGAGGAGAAAUAGCAAAGAAAUAAGAUGAUGAUGAUGAUGACCCAAGAUGAUCACAAGUUGAUCAUUUAAUAAUAAUAAGAAUAGUUUUACUGGAAAUAAUGAAGCACCUCGAUGAAACCUGCCAAAAGUGAAUAUCAAAAAAUGUCUGCUGAUGUUUAUAAUAAAGCCAAAAAGGAAACCAAGAAGUUGAACCAAGAAGGAAAAGUCAAUUCAAGAUUUAACCUCAAUUUUUGCCAAAUGAACUUUCAUUCAAUUUAACCAAUUAGUCUUUUGAUAUCAACAUUUUGUCAUUUACUUUCUUUAUCCAGUUGAAUCUGUUCUGAAGAUUUACCUUUUUCAACACUUUUAAUUGAUCAACUGAAUUUCAAUUUUAAUCAAUUGCAAGAAAAAGAAAGCUCUUCUUUCAAAUGUACUUAAUGAAAUUUCGUUGAUCACUCAAAGGCAAUAAUUUUAUCUCCUUUUUUUCUCUCUCGUAAAUCUCAUUUUCUCAUGAAUUUGAUUAACUCUUUUAGUUCAAAUUUAUCUCUUUUUUUACUCUCUAGACUGACUUAAGACUUGCAAGGUGCAUCACUGGAAACUUGUUUUUACCUCAUUGGAUUUUCACUUGCCAUUCUUAAUAUUAUUACAUAUGACUGUUGGUAUAUUUAAUCGAAUAAGUGCAUUUUUUUCUCUCUUUUCUGAUCAGAAUAAUUGAAUAUUGAGACUUAUGUAAGGUUAUACUGCGAUUUAGGUGAACCCUGCUUACAAAGUCAAUUGGCUGUUGAUCAAGUGUUGAAAAUCAAAAAGGAAAGAGGACAAAAUUGAACAAACAAUUGACGUUGAAACAGCAAAUGAUCAUGAGGUGAAAAUGAUGAGGCAUUUAAGUGUGUGUCUGUGUGGCUCAAUCGACAAUCACAAUUGAAUAGUUUAAAAUUAAAUCUCCAAUAAGGUUGAUUUUUCGAUGAAUUUGGGUUUUCAAGAUGAUUCCUCUUUUGUGUCACAUUUGAUAAUAUUGGAAAUGACAAGAAGCAAACAAGAUGAUGGAGAAAAAUGAAAGUAAACUAAUCAAUGUACCUGAUCUUGGAUAUUAGAGUGUGACACAAGUAAAUCGAUUUAAAUGGCUCUUAUAUCAACACCAUGUGAACCGAUUGGUUUCACUGGAAUAUCUGUUGAAGGAUAAUGAACUUAUCAUUGUUUAUCAUGGUAAAGAAGGGAAAAAAAGGCAAAGGGAAAAAAGGUAAACUCUAGUCAAGAUGGUGAUACUGAUGACUAAAUGAUGUGCUCACAGGAUUGGAUUUAAAGCCAGAGAAAAGAAAGAAAGAAAUUCAAGGAAAAGGCUGCAAAAACAAAGGUUGAUGGAGAUGAUUACGAUAACAGGAUUAUCAUCACACACACAAGGAAACAGGAACCAAUUUAUGAUCAUUUUUGUUGAUUUGUUAUGGCUAACCCAAUAGUUGUCAAAAAAAGCUGAAAAUAUGUUAUAAAGCAGACAGCUAAAACUGGAAAUAAUCUUUCACUUUUUUUCGCCAUUAUUUCUCCUUCAUUUUUAUCCAUAUUGAAAUCGAUAUUUUUUUCGAUUUUCUCCUCUUCUCUCUCUCUCCUGCUCAAAUACCACAUACAUGGAAAACAUGUAACACAUGAACAUGUGUAUGAAUUGGUGUGUUGUUUUUCAAAAUCAAUGAAUGAUUUUGUACUAAAAGCAUAAGAUGGUUGAACAAUGGGAAAAGGCUGAUAACCAAAGUGGUGUGUUGUGUUUCAACAUUCAAAGGAUUUUUUCUUCUUCUCAACGGAAACCAAUGAAGUGCUGAAAAGAUGUUUUUGGAAUGCAACAAACAAGAAAAGAACGAGAAAAAACUGUCCAAAGGAAAGCAAAGAAAAAAGGAUAAAGUUAUUCAAUAAUAAACAUGGAAAAAGCAGAAGAAACAGAAGCAAAAGUCAACAUAAAUAAUGAUGACAGAAAAAGGAUGAUAAACUCAAUGGUUACGAUGUUAACGAUACAAGUGACGAUAAUUUUUUCUAAAGUGUUUCAGAUAUUUAUUUACCCUCAACAUUAUUCCAUUCAACAUGAACACAAUCAUGGAGAAAAUUUUUAUUUAUCUUGAUGAUCAUUUUGGCUGUUCAUUCUAUUGCUUUCUUUUCCUCUCUCUCCAUGCACAAGUCUACAAACCAAGCACAAUUUCAUUGGUAAAAGAUGUAAGACAAUAUUCAAGCAUUUUUCAUGGUAAAAGCUGGAUAAAAAAUGAUUCUCAGAGGAAACUCAUCUUUUACAAAGUUUUCAUUUUAUUUCAUUUGGAAUGAAGGAAAAGAGGCAAAAACAAAACAUCAUUUUCUAGACUGGCAAAGGAACCAAAAGAAAUGACUCAAGAUUGAAAUGUGGUUACAAUUUUUGACGCUUAACAUCGUAUAAUCCUUAAUGAAGUGAACAUUAUUGUUGUGCUGAGUAAACAACAGUUUUGAUGGAAACAAUCUUAUUGUAAAGUAAUUCAAUUAUAAUAACAAUAAUGAUGGCAAUUUUUUGGUGAAUAUCACCUUAUUUUUCAGGUUUACCUUAAAGCUCAGUCUAAAGUUGCAUUGGAUGGAGAAAGAUGUUUUCAAAAAUUCAGAAGAAGAAGACGAAAAAGCCAAGCAAAAGAGAAAAGCAAUUUUUUGGUUCAACAUUCAUUUUGCCACCGUUUUCAAUCUGAAUGUGUGUGUGUCUAAAGAUCUGUGGAAACAUGCAAUAUUUCAUGUUUAUUUACCUGAAUGGAGAUGAAUCAAGGGAGAGAAAAAAGAAUGAUGGAAUCAACGUUGAAAAGAGCAAAAGUGAAGGGAAAAAGUUUAAAGACAAGAAGAUGGUUAAGAUGGAAAAAGAUGAGACAACAAUAUCAUCAGAAGAUUCAGUUUCUUUGUUUUGUUUCUUAUCCUUUUUCCCUUUACCAUUCUAAUCUGACUAAGGUUGCUAUUUUUCCCAGUCAACAUGAAGAUAAAUGCUCAUGGUUUUACUCAUAUUUAUAUGUGAUUUAAACAAAAAGAUGAUGAUAAUAUGGGAAAAAGGGAGAACUAAGAUGGUAAACAAGAUUGAAUUGUGAAUUCAAUGAACCAUUCAAAUCUUUUAUUUACAUACAUAUUGAUACCAAUUUUGAAUGUGUAAACAAUUUUCAUUGUUUUCACUGUUUUCCUCAUUUCCAUCAUUCAAUCUUAUUCCCUUAUUUUAAUCAUUUAUUAAUUCAUCUUCAAUUUCAUCUCCUACAGAUUUUCAGUAAUCCAAGAUUUUCAUCAAAAGCAAAAUGAUCAAUGGAUAUCGAGGAAAAAGCGCUUGUAAUAAGAUGCACAAAUGGCAUAUGGAACCACUCUUGUAGUCAUCAUCAUUCAUCACCUUUUUAAUUGGUCAAACAUAAUUUUUUCAAUUAUGUGAUGAUAAUUUUAAUGGUUUGAAAACUUCCACACGAAUGAUUCUAAUCUUUUCUGGAUUCAACUUUACUUGAUUUAAAUCUUUCCACACUCAAAUGAAAAUUGGCCAAUCAAGAAUAACUAAUCAUUUUGAAUGACAAUCAACAGUUUAACACAUUUUUUUUUGUUUUUCAGUCUUUUUCCUCUCAAAGAAAAUAUCUUUCAGGAUUUGGAUAUUCAAUGGAAGCUGAAAAUUUGUUUUUCUUAAAUUUCUAUCCAACAGUAACAGCAACAAUUUGAUUCAAACAUUGAAUUUAAAAUGGUUCAAACUUGCAGGUUCAACUGUAAAUCUGUUGAUUAUUUGAUGAUGAGAAACGAGCUCAACAAGAGUUAUUAAAGGAUUAUCAGGAGAAAAGUUGUUCAACGAUAAAGCAGGCGAGUAAAUAUUUUCAACUUUGAUGAGAUAAAUAAUGAUAAAGAAAAGCAUUAAACACAAAGGGAUUGAAAUUGAAAAGUACAGACAGUAUCAUUAAUCUGUUCAGUAAUAAUCAGAAGAAAAAACAAAAAAUCUAAACUUGUAAAUGUAAAAGAGAGAAAA